AUGUCUGCACCUUCCCCUCAGUUGUUUUGUGAAUCUAAAACUGUUCUUGAAAAGUUUGUUAUUUAAAACAAUUUUUUUAAUGUUUAUUUUUGAGAGGGACAGAGUACGAGCGAGGGAGGGGCAAGAGACACAGGGAGACACGGAAUCCCAAGCAGGCUCCAGGCUCUGAGCCAUCAGCACAGAGCCCCACGCCGGGCUCCAACCCACAAACCGUGAGAUCGUGACCUGAGCCGAAGUCUGAUGCUCAACCAACGGAGCCACCCAGGCACCCCCUGAAAAGUUUAUUUGUUAAAAAAUUUGUGCAUUUUUGCUCUUGUUCUUGGCACUCUGCCACCGCCGCGGGACAACUCCAUUAAAGGAUAAAAGACCCUGUGCUACAGAGAUGAGUCAUCACGGCUGAGGCCAUCCUUGACUGGCGAGCCCUCCACAGGCUGCAGAGGCCCAGGCAGGUCCAGAUGAGGUUGGCCAGGCUCGGUCUAGAUCUGCAGAACCACCCCUCCGCCCCCGACUCCCAGGUCCGUGAAAAAUAAUGCAUGGUGCCGCUUUUAAGCGGUCGCUUCAGUCCUCCAUCACUGCAUGACAAGCCACCCCAAAACCAAAACCCAAAAGCAACCUCCAUUUACUAUUUCUCAUGAAUCUGAGUCAGCUGGGCACCGGCUAGUGUCACUCACCUGGCUGCAACCAGCCAGCUGCUGGAAGGUCUGAGAAGGCUUCACUCACACAUCUGUGCCCCAUGUCUCUUUCCAUGUGGCUUCCAAAGCAUGUGGUCUUUUCAGCAAGGGGGUCAGACUCCUUACACGGCAGCUGGCGUCCAGGAGGGGGGAACUGGAACUUUGGUACUGAGCGUGGAAGUUCUAGAAUGCUACUUCUGCUUCAUUCUAUUGGUUACAGCAGUCACAGGAGCAACUGGGUUCAAGGGGAGGGGAAAUACACCCUACAUUUUGCAGGGCAGCGUGCACGUACAGGGAUAAAGCGGCCUGGUCGCAGCCAUUUUGGGAACUUGAACUUCUCGCGCCCUCUGCUAGAAGGCUCCUAACCCCCAGGCUGUAAGAUUCUGUUCAGGUGUACCUCCACUGCUCAGUCAUCUCCUCCAAGAGCAUUUCUCUGACCAUUGUACUCCAAGAUUUACGAUAUGCUGAAUUUCUGCAAAGACACGAAUUCUUUUUCACGGUAAAAACAGAGUUAAUUUUCACAAAAAGACUUAUGUUGGUAUGCCAUAUGAAAUGUCAGUCGGUCCACUGCUGCAGGCAUGUGGCAGGUUGUAUUCUCUGGGUCUGUGUAUUAAACCGCUUAAGAAUUUCGCAGUUUGUGAGUUUGAGCCCCGCGUCAGGUUCUGUGCUGACAGCUCAGAGCCUGGAGCCUGCUUCAGAUUUGUGUCUCCCUCUUUCUCUGUCCCUCCCCUGCUCGUGCUCUCUCUCUCUCUCUCUCUCUCAAAAAUAAAUAAGCAUAAAAAAACAUUAACACCACUUAGGAAAUCAGAAGUCAUCUGACGUUGUUCAGGAAGAACCCUCAGCACCGGGUGUCUCAGCACCGUGUGCCUUAGCUUGUGAAUGCAUGGGCAGGUCCUGCUGAAAGCCCCCUGGGGGGUGUGACAAGUCUCAUUCCAACAGGGGCCAUGUGCCAUGUGACUGGCCACCCGCCUCUUUAUCUCUAGUUCCUUAAGUGAGGAGUUCUGUUUGGCUAUAGACCUUGACACUGUGGAGGUCAGCCAAGGUCAGUGCUCCAGUAAGAAUGACUCACACCCUGCUCUGUGCUCUCCGCUGGGCACAGGCUUAGAGUACCAUGAACACCAUGAUUUUCCGGACUUAGCUCCCAAGAGGUGAGGCUCAUUCCCUGAGACACUGAUCUAUGAAAAAAAAAUCCCCAAAGCAGCCACCCAAGGUGUAUCUGGCAUUUAGGGGAAAAAUAGAAGCUUCUAUUCUCUGAUCCUAUCCAGUGGGGUUCUAAUUCAAACUUGACUAUCCAGUGUGAACAUGCUUUUCAGGCUUGUCUGAAGAAGGACAAUCAUUAUGAUUUCAAAAAAAGUAUUGUGGAAGAUUGCAAACACACACACAGGUAUUAACAAUAAUACAAUUUGGGCGCUGGGUGGCUCAGUUGGUUAAGCGUCUGACUUCGGCUCAGGGCAUAUCUCGCAAUUCGUGGGUUCAAGUCCCCCUGUCAGCUGUGCUGACAGCUCAGAGCCUGGAGCCUGCUUUGGAUUCUGUGUCUCCCUCUCUCUCUGCCCCUCCCCCACUUGUGCUCUGUCUCUCUCUCAACAAUAAAUAAACAUUAAAAAGAAUUUUAAAAAAACAAUGAUCAAUAAACAAUUGCAAUAGCAAGACCAAACUUAGC
This is a long non-coding RNA of Acinonyx jubatus (cheetah), 2331 nucleotides long. RefSeq lists it as uncharacterized. The record is from RefSeq and is a predicted model, not a curated record. The transcript is spliced from 3 exons. NCBI's taxonomy places the organism in Eukaryota, Metazoa, Chordata, Mammalia, Carnivora, Felidae.